Lucilia sericata (common green bottle fly) is the source of this 6370-nucleotide RNA transcript. It is a transcript of the gene named zinc finger protein 665, with no coding region annotated. The record is from RefSeq and is a predicted model, not a curated record. The transcript is spliced from 12 exons. NCBI's taxonomy places the organism in Eukaryota, Metazoa, Arthropoda, Insecta, Diptera, Calliphoridae.
UCGUGUGCGUUGACACAACUCUUUGUGUGAAAUACAAAAACUAAAAUGGCGACGUCAGUAGAGUGAUGGAAUUGAGGAAUUUUUUCAAUUGUGUUGAUUUUUUAUAUUCAUAUUCUAUAUAUUGGUGGAUAUUUUAACCCAAUUACAACAAUAAAUCUAAAAACACAAACAAAUAAUACCAAAUAAAUAUAUAUAUCAAACAAUUUCCGUGCAAAUGCCUAAAACAAAAAGUGAAAUAUCUAAAAAGCAAAUAAAAAACCUAUUGAAAAAAAGUGAAAAAAGUUACGCUAAAGAAAAAAUAAAAAUGGCGCCCGCGACGUCUUGACUUUCUUUUUUUUUUUAUAUUGUAUAAAAUCGUUUUUGCAUAAAGAAUUUUACAUUAAUUGUAAAUAUUUCCACGAAAAAAACAUGCUAAAAACACAAUCGACUAAAUUGUGAAAAUCUUAUUCAAUAAAAGAAUAUUGUGUAAAAGUUCAGAGAAAAAUUGUAAAGCAAAAUAAAAGUUGAAAAGCAAAAUUACUGUGGCCGUUGUUUUUUUAAGUUCGUUCAUUUCAGUUUCAUUAUUUUUUUUUAUUUUUCAUUCAUACGUUCGUAUACGUGCGUGUGUGUAAUAUAUUUUUUUAAAAUAAAUAAAAGGCCUUGAGGAUGUGUGCUGCUCAAAGUAAUCCAACACAAAGUUUUGGUCCUUAUGCCUGGGGUUUUGCUGAUAACACUCGAGGUCCCGAGUCCGUACUGGAAAUAUCGCCCAAUAUAAACUACACUGUUAGCAGUGAAUCUCAUUAUAAUUUUCAGAUGCCAUAUUUGUUAUCCACUGAUGGAUCAUUAACAGUGCAAAAAGAUGUUAAAGGAGGAUUAGCUGGCAAUAAAAGUGUUGUACGGCGUAUGGUAUUGGUCAAUGACCCAUUUGCAACAGGAGCUCAAAGAGUAAUCACUGGUGCUGCCGCCGCCUCCUCAGUUGUUAAGAAACCAGAGCAACAACAACAAGUUUUAAACUUAAAUUGUGACAAAAAUUAUCUACUUGUCGAUCAAACAGAUCAGUCUCAUUUAACGAACGGUAUUGUAGAUUCAAAAACACAAACCAUAUUAACGACAGCUGCAGCUGCUAAUAAAGCACAUUUUAGUCCGAUUGGCCCGAUACACUUGACGGCCGAGGAAUGUAAUGAAAUAUUAAUGAAACGUGCUUUGGCCGCCACACACCCACAAACUAUAACAUCAAAUGAUGGUCAUAAUACAACUACAAGUGACAUAUUGCCUGGCAUCUCAGUGCAAGUACAAAAAGUUAUACAAGGUCUAGAAGACAAUGAUGAUUCACAAGGUAAUGCGCCUAAUUUAAAAUUAGAACCUGGAACAUUGGAACUCUCACCGAAAGCAGAAUUACAAGAGACCAUGCAUUUUACAGAUGCCGAUGCCACCAUUAAAAAAGAACGCCCUUACAGUUGCGACGAGUGUGGCAAAUCAUUUUUGUUAAAACAUCAUUUAACUACUCAUGCUAGAGUACAUACAGGGGAACGGCCCCAUAUCUGUACACAUUGCGGUAAAAGUUUCGCCCACAAACACUGUCUAAAUACCCACUUGCUUCUACACUCCACCGAUCGCCCUUAUCAGUGCACCGAGUGCAAAAAGAGUUUUACUCUUAAACAUCAUUUGUUGACCCAUUCUAGGGUACAUUCACGUGAUCGACCCUUUAUUUGUCAGGAAUGUGGCCGUACAUUCCCGCUGAAACGUCACUUAGUGACACAUAGUAAAUAUCAUGCUGGCGAACGACCGUUUGUUUGUGACGAGUGUGGCGAAAGUUUUGCCCAAGAAAAUCAUCUCAUUAUGCAUUCACGUUUUCAUGGUUCUGUUAAUCCAUUCGUUUGUCAGGAUUGUGGUGUUACAUUUCCGCGUAAAUUUCAAUUGGUCAAUCAUGCUCGUAUUCACGGCAAAGUACCGCAUGCCUGUACAGUGUGCGGUAAAGAAUUUUUACAGAAAAGGACAUUAGUGGCACAUAUGCGUGUACAUACUGGUGAUCAACCAUAUCCUUGUAUAAGUUGCGGCGAAGGUUUUAUGACAAGACCGGAUUUAAAUCAACAUAUACGCACCACACAUGGUGGUGUCAAUCCGAAUUCUUCAAAUACCGCCGCAGUGCCGUCCAACAAUUUAAUUUCACAGCAGCAGCCAACACAAACAAUACAACAAGUACACCAAACACAAGCCCAUUCUACACAUCAGCAACAGCAGCAAGGGCAUCAAGUUCAAAAUAAUCAUCCACAAACUAUAACGGUGGUUAGCAAUCCAAACAAUUCGGCCUUGUUAACGGUCACCGCCAAUGAUGCCAAUAAUACGGCCAGACCACAAUUUGGUUGCCGGGAAUGCGGAAGUGCCUUUAAUAGUCGCGAAGCUUUAGCUCUCCACCUGCGUUUACAUACCGGUGAUAAAAGUCUUAUGACCGAUUUAUGUGCUUUAACCGCCGCCUUGCCUACACACUUACUAAGCACAACCGGUAUGAGUUCUGGCGCCACAGUUGUGGCAGCCAAUCCCAAUAUUAUAGCCCAAAACCAAAUGCCAGUUCAAAUCAUAUCAUCAACGGGUCAAGUUGUUUCACAGACAACACUGGUGCAGGCCGCCGCUACGACUCAUCCGCAGACACUUGUUCCCGGCAUGCCAUCGGUUGGUUUACAGCCACAACAGCAGCAGCAGCAACAUUUACAGAAUGGUGCAGCUCACCAGCAGCAUCAACAGCAGCAGCAACAACAACAGCAGCAACAACAACAGCAGCAGCAACAACCGCAGCAAUCGCAACAGACACCCACCAAACCCAAAUCACAUUUCUGUGCUAGUUGCGGCAAAGGUUUUGCCGCCAAACACGGUCUCAUGCAACACAAUCGUCGUCAUCCGAACGGCGGUUGUACGGUACGCACUCAUGUGUGCGAGUGUGGCAAAGCAUUCUUCCAAAAGAAUCACUUAAUGCUACAUCAGCGUCAACAUUUGGAAACGAAACCACCCAUUUCGCAGCAACAGGUGUGUUGAACCUCUCACUCACAAUCACUCUCUCAAAUCAAACUCUCUAAAAACAAUUGAGAAAUAAUCUUUAAAAAAAAGGUUGUAGUUGUGUGCAACGAUGGCAACAACCAACAACAGCAGCAGCAGCAACAACAACAACAGCAGCAGCAACAACAACAGCAACAUGUGCAACAACAGGCACAACAACAACUGGCCCAACAACAACAGCAACAAAAUCAGCAGCAGCAAAAUCAACAACAACAGCACCAGCAGCAACAACAACAACAAAUGACCACCAGAGAAGUAAUGAUUGGCAAUCAAGCUGUACACGUGCAAGUGUUGCAAGGUACCAAUACAGCACAAGUUAUUAAAUAUGAAAUUAACAUACCACAAGAGAAUCAAAAUAUUGAAUGAGCGAGAAAUGAGUCAAAUCCCCCUUUAAAGCAAAAGCAGAAAAGAAAGAAAGAUGAUGAAGGAAGUAUAAACUAACAAGAACUGAACAGUGGAGGAAAAGCCAGGACUAUUGCAAACACUUGAAACACACCGACACAGAGACCCCCUUAACACUUAGAGAGUGAGAAAAAAGUUUUAAUAUCUUUUAACCACAGCCGCAUUUAAAAACUCCGCAACAGUAAAUUAUCUUCUGGAAAAAAAGGUUUAUAAAGGGCAACAACAAGGUACCAAGUUGUAAUUUGGCUCAGGCUCCCUUAUUUCUCUCUUCUUUCUUUUUGUUGUAUUGAUUUCUUUGUUGUUCUCUUACAUUCUCUUUAAGCUUAUUGUUUUAUAAGCAUUAUUGUUGUUGUUUUUGUUUCUAUUUUUUAUUGUUUAUUUUUAUUUAAAAUAUUAUUUUUUUUAACAAUUAUUGACACAUUUUUUUUUUUAAGAAAAACCAAUUUAACCAUUUUUCUCUAGUUUUUACAUCCAUUUCCUUUUUUAAAUUGUUCUACAUAAAAACAAAAAAACAUAUUUUGUAAGAAAAGUAGUUGUAAAUUUAGGUUAAAAUUUUGUUUUUUUUUUUCAUAUUUUUUAAUUAUUAUUUUAUGAUUUUUUCAAUUAGUUUGUAUAUAGCAUAGUUAUAAAUACUAUUUUUUAAUUAUUAUUAAUAUUUGCAAUGGAAAAAAAGAUUUCAUCAGAAAAAAAAGGAGUAAAACACCACUAGAUAAAUGGAAAUUUAUAAGGAUUCAUUAUGGUUUUAAUAGUGGGGGGAGGGAAGAAAAGGAAUUUAAGAAAAUUUACUCUUUUUUUUUCCUUGUAUUAAGUGAGAGGAAAAAUUCUUCAUUUGUUUUAUGCCUUUAAAAAUGUUAGUUGUGGGAGUUGUUUUAGUUUUGUAAUAUUUUCUUAAAUCAUUAUUUAUACAUUUUUUUGUAUAUAUCAGUCAAUUGUUAUGGAAUUGUUUAUAAAUAAUUAUAACGCUAGUUUGCCUUGGAGUUCAAUGAUCGAAAAGUGGUCACUUUUGGAACUGGUUCUGUGGAGGUAUUUAUAUGUUCGAUAUAAGUUUUAAAGAACGAUUCUGAGUUCUCUUCUGGCAAAGGUUUUCAUUCGAAACUGUUACGAAAUUUGUUACCUUUGGAACUGAUUCGGCGGAAGUUUUAUCCUAUCAACGUUUUAUAGAACGUUAAUCGAAUUUUGUUCGAAAUUGUAACCUAAAGAACUAAUUAUAUGUGACUUUACGAUACAAUUCUAGAACUAAUUCUUCAAGUUUUGAGAAAAACGGGCGAGUUUUUAGCAUUAAUUUGUUGAAUGCAAGUUUCCUGUUGAGACUGACUUUAUGCUUGAAGUAGUCACCUUUGGAACUCUUUUAUGAAAGUUUUUAGUUCGAAUUUGCCAUGCUAAGAACUGGCUAUAAGUAAGUUUCAGGAACAGUUCUAAAAUUACGUCUUUAAGACUAAUGAAAACUGAAAACUUUACAAAAAUAUUAAUACCAGAACUAGUUCAUUUAUUAAAGAUUUUAGUAUGAAAUUGUCUCACUCAGAACCAAAUUUACAUAAUUUUAGCGAACAAUUCUAGAACUAGUUCUUUAAGAAAAACCUAAUUUUAUUUUGAAAACUUUCCGAAAAGUUUCUACAGAUUCUUGAAAACUUUAGGAACUGUUUCUGUAGAAUAGGUUACGGAACUAGUUCAUUUAACAAAAAUAUUCGUUCGAGAUUAUUACGUUCAGUACUAGCUCUAGUAAGGUUAAAGUAAAGAUUCUAGAACUAGUUCUUUAAGCAAAAUUAACACUAAAAUUUUGUUUUCACAAACUACGGAUCUUUCCCUAUAGAAGAGAAUCUUGAACUAGUUCCUUUAUAUAAGGUAUUCGUUCGAAAUGAUCACGCUCAGAACUAGCUAUAGUAAAGUUUUAGUAAAGAUACAAGAACUAGUUCUUUAAGCAAAAUUAAAAUUAAGAAAUUGUUUGACAACUUUGUAGAACUUUUUCUUUAGAUUAUAUUCUAGAACUAGUUCUUUUAUCUAAGAUAUUCGUUCGAAAUUAUCACGCUCAGAACUAGCUCUAGUAAAGAUACAAGAACUAUUUCAUUAAGAAAAAUUAAAAUUAAAACUUUUUUUGGAAACUUUAAAAACAAUUUCUAUAGAAUAAAAUCUAGAACUAUAGUUCCUUUAUCAAAAAUAUUCUUCAGAAAUUGUUUCACUCAAAUCUAGUUUUAGGAAUAAUUCUAGAACUAGUCCUUUAAGCAAAAUUAAGUUUUUUUUUAGAACUAGUUCCUUUAAAGAAGAUUUCUAUUAGAAAUUGUCAUGAUAAGAACUAGCUUUAGAAAUAAUUCUAGAACUAGUUCUUUAAACAAUAUUAAAACUUAAAAGUUAUUUUGAAAUUUUAGCAAACAUUGCUAUGUUAAGCAAGUGUCAAAGAACUAGUUCUUAGAAAACUCUUUAGAGAUUUCUUUGAACCAUAGCAAAGCUACGGAUUACGAGUUUUAGAUGGAAAUAAUGACAACACUAGUUCAAUGAUAGCCUAAUAAAAAUCUAAAGUUGUUCUUUUACUAGAACUGGUUAUAUAAGAACGAAUUCUUAAACGGAUCUUGAGGGAUUAUGAAGAUAUUCUUUAUAUUCCAGAAAUAAUAGUAUCAAUUCCACAACUAGUCCUAGAACUCAAGGUUGUAGACUGUAAAAACGUUCUAUUUGGGAGUUGAGACCAAUGUUCGAAAUGGUUAAUUUUGGAGUCGAUACCCAUUAAGCUAUUGUUAAGAAACAAGUUUAUUAGAAUCAUAACAAAGAUCUGGAAAACUUGUUCUAAAAGUUUUGAUGAAAACUCUAGUUUCCGGAUUGUCAAUUAGGAAUCUUAUGUGGUUCCGUUUACACUUAUUCCCUAAUUAGUUGUUAUAGAAUGUUUUCUUAAAAGAAUCCUGGCUGGUUAUAACAUCAUUUCCACAACUAGUCCUAGAACUCGUGGCUA